CACCGAUGGCGAAGGCAGNUCUCUGGGCAGUAACUGACGCUGAGGAGCGAAAGCAUGGGGAGCGAACAGGAUUAGAUACCCUGGUAGUCCAUGCUGUAAACGGUGGGCGUUAGGUGUGGGGACCGGUUUGGUUUCUGUGCCGUAGCCAACGCAUUAAGCGCCCCGCCUGGGGAGUACGGCCGCAAGGCUAAAACUCAAAGGAAUUGACGGGGGCCCGCACAAGCGGCGGAGCAUGUGGAUUAAUUCGAUGCAACGCGAAGAACCUUACCUGGGUUUGACAUGCACCAGACGGUUGUAGAGAUACGUACCUCCCUUUGUGGUUGGUGUGCAGGUGGUGCAUGGUUGUCGUCAGCUCGUGUCGUGAGAUGUUGGGUUAAGUCCCGCAACGAGCGCAACCCUUGUCUUAUGUUGCCAGCACUUUGGGUGGGGACUCAUGAGAGACUGCCGGGGUUAACUCGGAGGAAGGUGGGGAUGACGUCAAAUCAUCAUGCCCUUUAUGCCCAGGGCUUCACACAUGCUACAAUGGUUAGUACAACGCGCUGCGAACCUGUGAGGGUGAGCGAAUCGCUGAAAGCUAAUCUCAGUUCGGAUUGGGGUCUGCAACUCGACCCCAUGAAGUCGGAGUCGCUAGUAAUCGCAGAUCAGCAAUGCUGCGGUGAAUACGUUCCCGGGCCUUGUACACACCGCCCGUCACGUCAUGAAAGUUGGUAACACCCGAAGCCCAUGGCCUAACCACCAUUUUUUGGUGGGGGGAGUGGUCGAAGGUGGGA
Molecule: ribosomal RNA, 770 nt
Filed under: uncultured bacterium
Lineage: Bacteria
Description: bacterial SSU rRNA
Rfam family: Bacterial small subunit ribosomal RNA
Source: RNAcentral